UACCCGCCCCCCGAGUGGUGGGGACGCUUAUUGGGCCUAAAGCAUCCGUAGCCGGCUGGGUAAGUCCCCUGUUAAAUCCAGCGAUUCAAUCGCUGGACUGCGGGGGAUACUGCCCAGCUAGGGGUCGGGGGAGGCCGGCGGUAUUCCCGGGGUAGGGGUGAAAUCCCAUAAUCCCGGGAGGACCACCAGUGGCGAAGGCUGCCGGCUGGCACGCGCCCGACGGUGAGGGAUGAAAGCUCUGGGAGCGAACCGG
This 253-nucleotide ribosomal RNA is filed under the name uncultured archaeon. Its description in RNAcentral is "partial 16S ribosomal RNA". It matches the Rfam family "Archaeal small subunit ribosomal RNA", at positions 474 to 727 of the family's 1478-position model. The record is from RNAcentral.